This is a long non-coding RNA of Boleophthalmus pectinirostris (great blue-spotted mudskipper), 650 nucleotides long. RefSeq lists it as uncharacterized. The transcript is spliced from 3 exons. The record is from RefSeq and is a predicted model, not a curated record. NCBI's taxonomy places the organism in Eukaryota, Metazoa, Chordata, Actinopteri, Gobiiformes, Gobiidae.
CCCUGAUAGCGGCAGGAAUAAACUUUUAUUCAUCAUGGCGACACAGCGCAUUCAUCCGCAUAUGUUGGACCUGGAAUCGGACGAGGCACACGAAGCACAAGCACCGCGUCGACAUCAACUGAACAUUACUGAUUGGGGUCAGUGCACAGCUCAGACUCAGCUCUCCGGCCGUGAUCCAGGGCACAAAGUGUUCAGUUCCUCACCUCCCUCACAGGAAACAGACACAUGACAUCACCUUCUCAUCUCCUGUGCCCCCCGGGACCACCACAGACAGGAGGGGACGAGAGGACGGACAGAAAAGUUCUUCUGUUUGGAGCCACAGCCUCAUCCUGUUGCCACCUGUUCCGCAAGCCCCUGGUCAGCCUCAUCCCCACAUACCUCGCACUUACACCAACCUGGACCCAUCCUGCCUCCCCUGGAACCGAUCCCCUUUCCGAGACUAUUUUUGUUAAUAAAUACUUUUGGUUUCUGCAUAUUUGGGUUCGACCAGUGAUUUUCCUUAACAUGCAUAACAUGUUCUCUUUAAUGUACCUCUAACCCAGGGGUGGGCAAACUACGGCCCGGGGGCCAUAUGCGGCGGCCCUUUAAUCUUCUUAAUCUGGCCCACCGAACUUGAUAAUAUCCUAAGUAAUUUCAAUAAAUAGUAAAUA